AAAGUUUUGGCCGAGAAGUGGGGGCUCACUGUGUGCUGUUGGUAUACACACAACCUUCAGCAUAGCCGGUACUCCAAGAAAUAGAGAAUUGGGCAAAGUUCCCGUCCUGUGGAGCUUACAGUCGGAAAAAUCCUCUACACAUGAAGAAGGCUGGCAGAAUAGCAGUUGAUCCGCAGUGGGAGCCCGAAGAGUGAAGAGAGCACAACUAGAAAGACAUUCCAAAAAUGGCUGUAUGGUAUUUAGAGAUCUGCGUACCAGCUGCACUGUGCACAUAUUUGCAGAGGCUUCUGUUCAGCUAAGAAUGGGCUGUGGACUCAGGACGCUUAAUCGAAGCGGUGGCUCAGAAGUAGACUGUUCAGUCUUGAGCGAAGCAGAUGAGAAGUGGAAUUGGUCUCAACCAGAUGAACCAGGUACUCUUCAGACUCUGAGUCCUGUAAUGAUCUUGAAAUGAUACUGAGUCAGAGCUAAGUGAGAAUUAAGUUCCUGCCACCUCCGAGUUAAGCAACGCUCUGCAUUAGUGAUCCAGUGUCUCAAUCAGGGCAGGAAGAGGUAAGGAAACUGUUUGCUUCGUCCUUCUUAGUGCACAAACCGUUCUACAGGGACUGGGAACGAGACAUCUGCCAGAAAAGAGGGAGAUAGAAGGUAUCUUAGGGUUACAGUUGUUUCCUGUGGCUGUGCAUUUGCUUUGGUUUAGUUUUCCUUUCCCCUCCCCCUUACCACAAUUCAAGACUAUGUAGGAGCUCUUUUCUCCCCUUUACCUGUAUUUAGUUCCUUUAAUUAGGUGAUAAUUUUGUAAUCUGAGGGAUUUAAAGGCAAUCCCGUUCUCCCUUUCUGCCUUGCUAGUUGUAGCCUCUUAUUCCUGACCCUGCCACAGUUGCAAUGCCGUGCUGUGAAACAAAGUUCAAAGGUCCUUUUUGUUUGUUUUUCACCUUGCAUUCCUUCCCUUUCCCUUGCAUUCCUGCUCAGUGUAGCCCCAGCAGCUCUUUUCCCGCAUGUGGAGCAUCAGGCACAUCCCCCAGGCCUCCUACUGAAAUCUUUACCUCCCUCAAACACGACCUUGGGCUGGAUCUCAGCCCUCAUGCAGGUGCUGAGCACAGAACAAAGUUCAAGUCCAUUUAAGAGCUAUUUCAGGGGCUUAAGUGGGCAUGAGAUAGCGUGCAAUUUUAACGCAUAUCCUCUGUGCAGGAUAAAUUUGAUGUUAAUUGUAGUGAAACUGCUGUGGUGGAUAGUCUUUCUAGCGAUGAGUGAUGUGUGCUUAUUCCUUUGCAAUAGCAGCUAUGUGACUUCUUCAUUUAUACAAUCAACCUGAAACUGUCUUGAUUAAAGAAGGUUUGUAAUUGCUGCUAUCACAAAAAUUGUAAUGGAAAAAGCAGUUGCAGCAGUAUGUCUCCAGAAUGCUGUCUCCAACUCCUAUACCUUGCUAAACAUUGCAGAUAGCUUCUCCCGGUGAUGGAGACGUGGAGCUCAUCUGAACAUGGGACAGAUUUGAGUAAUCUCUUUCACCUGUCCAGCAACACAGAAUUGUUCUUUGCCUUUCAUUUGCUCGUGCUUUGCCCAGGCUAGUCACAACCAACAAAACUUCAGCUGUUUGGGCAAGUGUAUCGCAAGCUGCACCUCGGUCUUAGGAAAUUUAUCUUGCUGUUCAAAACAAUUCCUCGCACUCCUUGACAUUUACUCCUAUGGGUAUUUGUAGGCUGUUAUGUCUGCCCUUACUUGUUGUUUAACCUAGCAAUAAGCAUUUAGCUGUCCUCAUAAAUCAUUUCCCCUCAGCUCUUUAGCUGCCUGUGCUCCUAAAUAUGAAAAACCCAGGCUAAGCCUACCCUUUUGUGCUGGUUUUGGCUGGGGUAGAGUUAAUUUUCUUCAUAGUAGCUAGUUUGGGGCUAUGUUUUGGAUUUGUGCUGGAAACAGUGUUGAUAAUACAGGGAUGUUUUAGUUAUUUCUGAGCAGUGCUUACAGAGAGUCAAGGCCUUUUCUGCUUCUCACCCCACCCCACCAGUGAGGAGGCUGGGGGUGCACAAGAAGCUGGGAGGGGACACAGCCGGGACAGCUGACCCCACUGCCGAAAGGGAUAUUCCAGACCAUAGGACGUCAUGCUCAGCAUAUAAAGCUGGGGGAAGAAGAAGGAAGGGGGGACGUUUGGAGUUGAUGGCGUUUGUCUUCCCAAGUAACCGUUACGUGUGAUGGAGCCCUGCUUUCCUGGAGAUGGCUGAACACCUGCCUGCUGAUGGGAAGUAGUGAAUGAAUUCCUUGUUUUGCUUUGCUUGUGUGCACGGCUUUUGCUUUACCUAUUAGACUGUCUUUAUCUCAACCCACAAGUUUUCUCACUUUUACCCUUCCGAUUCUCUCCCCCAUCCCACUGUGAGGGAAGUGAGUGAGCAGCUGUGUGGUGCUUAGUUGCUGGCUGGGGUUAAACCACGACACCUUUCAAUGACUAGUCCCCACAGGAUUUUAUUGAUGGCACAAAAUCAUUGCUCAAGCCAUGAUUUCAUAGCUGGCUUAUUGCAUGAUCCUUUGCUGAUUAUACUAACCUAAGGAUCUAUAUCAGCAGUUCUCUGGGUUUCUUUCCCGCAUCCUCCCACAUUCUCUUAAGACUUGUUCCACCUCUUCCCCCAACUUUAAAACCACUAAUUCAGGCUCCCUGCCCCUUCUCCCCAAGAGCACAUCUUCUGGGAGUAGCGGAGGCUGCAGGGAGUGUCCCUGCUGCCUCUGCUCCCACUUCCUUCGUCCCUCACUCUUCGUUGAAAGACUUCUCUCCGGCCAGAAGCUGGUUCCCAGGAGCAGCUGGAAGGUGGGCUUCCACAGCACAUCUCCUGGGAUCGGUGUCUGCAGUUCCCUGGAGCAGGGUUGGAAGAAUCAUCCAUUUGCCUUGCAGCAGAAGAAGAGUUCGGUUGUAAAUUUGGGUUGACUUGUUCAAAAGCGACUUUUGUUUCACCUCUGAGCUACAGUCUGCCCUUUAAAAUUCUGAACAUUUAUUUUGAUUCUUCGGAAGACUGAAUUGUCUUCUGACAUGAGGAGGAGGGUCAUAUACAAGCAUGAAUUAAGUUAAAUUGUAUCUAUCUGGGAAGUUUAGUCUUGUUUAAUGGCUUUGUUCAGUUAUUCUACCUGUUCAUUAUCUUUACAUAAACAUUAAAAUAAUACAAUCAUUACAUUUUCUCCUCUAAAAUAAAGGAGAUUCUUA
This is a long non-coding RNA of Gymnogyps californianus (California condor), 3178 nucleotides long. RefSeq lists it as uncharacterized. The record is from RefSeq and is a predicted model, not a curated record. Lineage: Eukaryota; Metazoa; Chordata; Aves; Accipitriformes; Cathartidae. The transcript is spliced from 7 exons.